CCUACGGGAGGCAGCAGUAGGGAAUAUUGGGCAAUGGAGGGAACUCUGACCCAGCCACGCCGCGUGCAGGAGGAAGGCGCUCUGCGUUGUAAACUGCUUUAGCAGGGGAAGAAAAAGGCCAUGCGUGGCAAAUUGACGGUACCCUGAGAAUAAGCACCGGCUAACUACGUGCCAGCAGCCGCGGUAAUACGUAGGGUGCAAGCGUUGUCCGGAUUUAUUGGGUUUAAAGGGUGCGUAGGCGGUCUAUUAAGUCAGUGUUUAAAUUUUGCAGCUUAACUGUAGGUAUGGCAUUGAUACUGAUGGACCUGAAUAUUAGAGAGGUAGCUGGAAUUUAUGGUGUAGCGGUGAAAUGCAUAGAUACCAUAAGGAACACCGAUAGCGGAGGCAGGUUACCAUCUGAUUAUUGACGCUGAGGCACGAAAGUGUGGGGAUCAAACAGGAUUAGAUACCCUGGUAGUCCACACUGUAAACGAUGAUUACUAGAUGCCGGUGGCUUGCCAUCGGUGUUCAAGCGAAAGCGAUAAGUAAUCCACCUGGGGAUACGUUCGCAAGAAGAGAAGACGAAGAAGUAGAGGCGAGAGAGAGACGACGGACGACACGAGGGAGGAGG
This 610-nucleotide ribosomal RNA is filed under the name uncultured bacterium. RNAcentral describes it as "bacterial SSU rRNA". The stretch from base 1 to 534 matches the Rfam family "Bacterial small subunit ribosomal RNA", at positions 338 to 873 of the family's 1533-position model. The record is from RNAcentral.